UGAGGUGACAUAUUGCAGACAGAUGCAUAGU
Molecule: non-coding RNA, 31 nt
Filed under: Homo sapiens (human)
Lineage: Eukaryota; Metazoa; Chordata; Mammalia; Primates; Hominidae
Source: RNAcentral